UCAGCCCUCAGUAACUAGCUCAAACUAGCUUGAAGAACUUCCAACAAGCUCCAAGAAGGAGGGAAGGAUUGCUCCAUGCUACUUUUCGAUCAGCAUGAGAGAGAUUUUUGCUCUAUGCCAGGCCUGACGGCCAGACCUGCUUGGUAUAGUUUAAGGAAUAUGUUUAGCAAAUAACUGUUUGACUGUAUAUGGAUGUGAGAAGGGGAGGCUGCCGAGUGCUUCACCACGAAACUGCCCACCCAGAGAUCUCAACUAACACGAAACACUAGUUGGAGGUGGUGUAGUACUUUCCAAAGUGGGCAGAUUCUCCAAGGUGAUAACAGCAGUCUAGAAAAUCAUGUUGAAAAUGGAGUUGAAGCUGAAGAGCCUAACGAG
Eublepharis macularius is the source of this 375-nucleotide long non-coding RNA. RefSeq lists it as uncharacterized. The record is from RefSeq and is a predicted model, not a curated record. The transcript is spliced from 3 exons. NCBI's taxonomy places the organism in Eukaryota, Metazoa, Chordata, Lepidosauria, Squamata, Eublepharidae.